GGAGGGUUGGCAGAGCGGUCGAAUGCGGCGGUCUUGAAAACCGUUGUAGGGCAACCUACCGGGGGUUCGAAUCCCUCACCCUCCGCCA
RNAcentral lists this transfer RNA (88 nucleotides) under Burkholderiales bacterium. RNAcentral describes it as "tRNA-Ser". It matches the Rfam family "tRNA". From Rfam's summary of the family: Transfer RNA (tRNA) molecules are approximately 80 nucleotides in length. Their secondary structure includes four short double-helical elements and three loops (D, anti-codon, and T loops). The record is from RNAcentral. Lineage: Bacteria; Pseudomonadati; Pseudomonadota; Betaproteobacteria; Burkholderiales. RNAcentral also lists the same sequence under 2 other names.